AUGGAAGGAUGGCAGCCGGUGCCGCCGUCAAUCCGGAACCAGAAGGGAACGCAAAUCCGUGUCGCUGGAGGCGGAGCCACCAUAACACCAUCGAACCGAAGCUGGAAGGGGCGCAGCUGCCAGUGCGCCGGGGCCAAAAACCGCGCCGGUAGAGAACGCAGGCAAACCAAGGACACUGGAGAACGCAGGUUCAUGAAGGCCGGGACCGGAGUGGUGUCUACAAAAUCCACCGCAAAGCUUCUAACAACCUGCCAGAGGAUCGCCGUCAUCACACACGCACAGGCCGUCACCGUAGCUCGGAGGAGACGCCGUUGGGGACGAAGGGUGGCCUGCACAACCGAGUCGCGGCCACCUCCCCCAAGGUUCACGCCCGCCCCAACGGACAACAGCAACAGAGGGGCUGCAGCACGGGAGGCAAGACGCGGACGGGGGAAGGAUCACCACGGAUGUGGCCGCGCCGCCGAGCAGGACCAACAGGAUGUGGUGCAGCAGUUGGACGAGGGGAGUGGCCGCGGCGCGCCAGAUCCGAUCUGGGACCGUGGGGAGAAGGGUCUCCAGCGCGAGCGUGCGCGGGUGGGGGGUAGAGGUCCGCUCCACCGCAGCGCGGCCGCACGGCCGAUGGUCCGAUAUUACUGUAGCAUCAAUGAAUCAGUACUGUUUGCGACCUGUAUAUGUUGGGAAGAAGAACUAUAUAUGUUCAGUAAUCUGCUUCUGCUGCAGGAUUGUGGUUCCAGUUUUUGUGCAGAUAGAUGCUUCUUAUGUCAUUUACAGAAGCCACUCUGUAAAAUAUAA
This 792-nucleotide ribosomal RNA is filed under the name Triticum aestivum (bread wheat). Its description in RNAcentral is "partial small subunit ribosomal RNA". The record is from RNAcentral. Lineage: Eukaryota; Viridiplantae; Streptophyta; Magnoliopsida; Poales; Poaceae.